This is an RNA transcript of Aphis gossypii (cotton aphid), 4375 nucleotides long. It is a transcript of the gene named esterase E4-like, with no coding region annotated. NCBI's taxonomy places the organism in Eukaryota, Metazoa, Arthropoda, Insecta, Hemiptera, Aphididae. The transcript is spliced from 10 exons. The record is from RefSeq and is a predicted model, not a curated record.
CAUUCUGUUUAAUAAUCUACAAUCUUAAUUCUCGAAUUUACCUAGUACAAAACAGUAAAUAUAAUUUUUUAAGUAUAAAAUAAGUUUAAAUUUUGUAUAUUAUAUAAUAGUGAAUAAUAUAACCUUUAAUAUGAGUGGUAGAAACUUACUAAAUAUUUUAAUGGCAUAAUAUGGAUAAUUAAAGAGAGAUUUUAGUAUAGUACAGUUAUGCAGUCAUGAACUAAACUCGAUAUAUACUGUUAUAAAUAAGACCUAGCUGCAUACUUACGAACGUUGAAUCAACGUUAAUUUUAAAAUCAAUCAAUUAGCAAAAAUGCCAAAUACGUGUAAAAUAGUAUUAUUUUAUUUAAUUUCGUGUUUUUUAACGUGUUCGGCAUCGGAUACACCUAAGGUGCGUGUAAGCUCUGGAGAAAUUGCUGGUGGAUAUGAAUACAGCUAUAAUGGUCGAAAAAUUUACUCAUUCUUAGGCAUACCGUACGCAAGUCCUCCAGUUCAAAACUAUCGAUUCAAAGAACCACAACCCGUCAAGCCGUGGUUAGGAGUAUGGAAUGCCACCAUUCCGGGAAGUGCUUGUUUAGGACCGGAUUAUACAUCUAAUUUCAAAUUUGUUGGUCAAGAAGAUUGUUUGUAUCUUAAUGUUUAUACACCAAAGUUACCACAAGAUAAUACGGCUGACGAUUUAAUGAAUGUAGUGGUGCACAUACACGGCGGCGCGUUCAUUGGUGGCCAAGGAAUAUCUUAUGGUCCACAAUAUCUUUUGGAUAUCAAUGAUUUCGUUUAUGUAUCAAUAAAUUACCGUUUGGGAGUAUUAGGAUUUGCCACAACCGACGAUGAUAUUUUACCUGCAAACAACGGUAUGAAAGAUCAAGUAGCGGCAUUGAGAUGGAUAAAACAAAACAUUGUUGUGUUUGGUGGUAACCCAAACAGUGUCACAAUUACCGGCAUGUCGGCUGGUGCAAGUUCUGUUCAUUAUCAUAUGAUUUCACCAAUGUCAAACGGCUUAUUUAAUCAAGCAAUACUUCAAAGUGGAAGUGCUUUUUGUCAUUGGUCAUAUACUGAAAAUGUUGCACAAAAGACAAAAUAUAUUGCAAACAUGCUAGGAUGUCCAACAAAUAAUUCCGAAGAUAUCGUCGAAUGUCUUCGUUCUAGACCGGGAUCGGUCAUUGCUAAAUCAUUUAUAGAAUUUAUGCCAUGGAAAUACAAUCCUUUUUCACCUUUUGGUCCAACUGUUGAAGUAGCUGGAGACGAAAAAUUUUUACCCAAUAUCCCUGAAAAACUCGUUCCAUAUGAUAUUCCAGUAUUGAUGAGUGUUUCUAGAGAUGAGGGUUUUGAUCUAGCAUUAUAUGCUAUGAACGAAAAUGGUAUUAAUGAACUAACCGAUAAUUGGAAUGAAUAUUUACCACAUCUUCUUGAUUAUAAUUACACGAUUUCAAACGAAAAACUCAGAACCAAAAUUUCUCAAGAUAUAAAAAAUUUUUACUUUGGUGAUGAAUCAAUAUCGAAAGAAACCAUGAGCAAUCUUGUAAAAAUGAUUACAGAUAGAAUGUUUGGAUACGCUAUCAGUAAAGCUGCUCAACAAAUUGCUGCCAAGAAUACGGCACCUGUAUAUUUUCAAGAAUUUGGAUACAGUGGUAAUUAUUCUAUCAUAACUACUGUAGAUCCAAAAUCAUACUCCCGAGGAUCAAAUGUUACUCAUGCCGACGAAAUUAUGUAUGUAUUAAAAAUGAAAAAUUAUCCUGUUCAUGACAAUGAAGAAGAUACAAAUAUGAUGAAAACUAUGGUUAAUAUCUGGUCAACCUUCAUUAAAAAUGGAGUCCCUAAUAUUGGAAAUAAUUCAGAAAUUUGGUUACCCGUUUCUAAGAAUCCAACAGACCCAUUUAGGUUUAUUCAGAUUACUCAGCAACAAACGUUUGAAGCUAAAGAACAAUCGAACCACGGAAAUUAUGCAUUCUGGAGUAAUUUACCAUUAACAGAAUUUAGUGAAGUUAAUGUGCCGGAAGAUAUAAAAAUUGAAUUAUAAAUUGUAUAAUAUGCGUUUAUCACUACAUUAGUUUUAAAAAUAUUUUACAGUAAUAAUUUUAUAAUGGAAUUUCAAAAGUUAUUAUCAAUGUUGAAUAAUAAUUUAAAAUUUUAUAAAAAAAAAUUAUUGUCUGUUUUUAAUACAUUAAUUACCUAUUACCUAUUAUCUAUUACAUUAAUAGGUAUUUCUUUUUGAAAUUUUAACUCACAAUUUCUUAUUAUACCUACAUCAUAAGUAUUCAUUCAAAGUGUUGAAGCAAUAAAUUUAUAAAAUAUCGAAGUAAUUUUUGAAUUAUUAAUAUGUACAGGGAAUAUGUAUAAUUUUAAGUUAAAUUCAAACUUUCAAUAUUUUAUAUUUCCCUGUUACUUGCAUCAUUAAUGUGUUAAAUAGUACAAAUAUUGUGUAAUAUUUGACUUCCGUUCCGGAAUCAAAAUUGUAUCAUUGUAAUUGAUUAACAAUAAAAAUGUAUAGUUUAAAACAAAUUUAAUCAAUUAUGAAUGGGAUAACGUUGAUCGUCUAAUAAUUGAUACAAAAAAAGAUGCAUUACAUUUAAAUAUUGUUAUGGUAUGUUAUUGUGUUGUUUAGUUUUAUAGAGAAAAAAAGCUAAAGAAAAUUUGGAAAACAGAAGAAAAUAAUGACAGAUUUAUCAAAUACCAAACUUGAGGUUACUAAUAUUGGUUCUAUACUUCAUAAUUCAUAUCAAAAUUCUCAUUGUUAAAAAAGGAAGUAGUGACCUUUGUUCAAUCAUUGCAGUUAUUAUGAAAUUCACAAACGGAUGAGUUUUAUAAUUUUAUCAAUUUGGAUGCCACAUUGCCAUGAUGGUAGAGGCACCUAGUGAUAUUCAGAAGGUAGUCAUAGUGCCAGAAUGACUAUUCGCCCUGAACUUUGUCACAUUUACAGCACCACAAACAGGUACUUACUACUUAGUCAUUUCCAGUAGGUACUAGUAACUUUAUACAGCAAUUAAUUAUUUUUAUUUGUUUUAUUAUUGUAAAGUAUCAAAUUAUUGUUCAUAUAAUAAAGUAUAAGAGUUUUGUUUUAAACAACUACCCGACUUAUCAUAACUUCUCAAGCUUAUCGGAAACGUGUUAUACUCGCUAAUUCAUUAAUACAGUAAUAGUUGCAGUUUCUUUCCUAGCUACUUCUAUACACAGCACACACUAUACACUUCAACCUUAACCCGUAAAAUAAUUGGAUAAUGAAAAAAGAGGAUUUAUAAUUAUUGACAUUGCUUUAUAGUUUAUCUUCAUAUAAUUAGAAUGUAACUAUAAUAAAGGUACACCAUUAAAUGAAACUACUCUAAAUAAUAUUAUACACUUUCAAAGUAAAAACGCAAGUCAAGAAGUAUUUUAUAUUUUUAUGCGAAGGAGCUUUUUACAGAUUUUUUCAAUUCACCUAGUGAAACAUUUUUCUAGCAAAAUGAUUUCACUUAAUUUAAUUUUUAUCUUAUACAUAAAUAAAGACGUAUACAUUAAAUAGGCAACUAAUUAGGUACCAAAAUAUAAUAAUAGUUAAUACAUUAUAAAUUAAAAACCUUUAGAAAUAGAAAAACUAAAAUUUUAUAAAUAUAUUAAUAAAAUAUACAAAGAUACUAAAACAAGAAAACAAAUUAAUAAUUUGAUUUAAAAUAUAAAAAUAUAAUUUGUAGUAUACAUUAAGCAAACUACUGGUAUUAAAUUAUAUGAACUAAAUACAUAAUUAUUUCUAUUAAUAUAUAGUAUAUUAUGUAUGCAUUGUAACUUUUUAUAUAUAUAUUUUUCCAAGUUUGAUCUUUCCAAGAACUAUCACUAUAUUUGUAUUACUAUUAAAUCAAACAACUCAGUGUGUGAUCUCAUACAUUCAAUUAAUUUGUCCACCUUCAUUUAUUUUUAAAUUUGACAAAAUUAUAAAAUAUAAUGUCUGACUAUAGUGACAACUGAUAGUGAUGUACUAAUAAAUAAUAACUAAUAUAAUAAAAUUCAAAAACAAAAUGUGUUUCCAUCCGUUUGCUGCCCGGUGACUCAUUCCCACUACAUUGAUCCAAAGGAAAACCUGGACGGACACCAGCGAAAGAAUCGUCGCAAAGAAUAUUUUUAGCGUCCGUCCUCGGCUCGUUCUACAAUUUCAGAUUAAUAUUAUGAAUGUUUAAAUUUCAAAACUCAGAAACAAGAUAUUUCCCCGUCCAGCAAUAAUUAUAAAUUAUUGUUGUAUGAAAAACGUAUUUUAUAUAUUAUGAGACAUUUUUUAUUUAUUCAGUAUUAUUUGUAUUAAUUACUGUCUUCGUUAGUAUUAUAUAUAUUAUAUUGAUAUUAUUAUAAUAAUUAUUACUGAUUGGAUAUUGUGAAAUAUAUGACGAAUAAAUUCUAUACAAUUCUA